RNAcentral lists this long non-coding RNA (233 nucleotides) under Phoenix dactylifera (date palm). RNAcentral describes it as "long non-coding RNA (PDAC_LNC018600)". Lineage: Eukaryota; Viridiplantae; Streptophyta; Magnoliopsida; Arecales; Arecaceae. The record is from RNAcentral.
AAACUCAUCACUCAUUGCUGCCAACAUGAUGCAUCGAACAGUGCUCCGGUCACUGAGCCACUUCUGAUAAGUGUCUCUGGCCGAUCUUGAUGCAUUAGCAGCGGGUUGCUCAGGUGCUUGAUCCGUUAUCACAUAAAGGAUCCUCUCAUGCUCUAGCACUAUUUUCAGUUUUCUAUGCCAACUAUUGAAAUUUGGACCAGUCAACUUGUCAUUGUCCAACAAUGAGCGAAGUG